Molecule: non-coding RNA, 73 nt
Organism: Podarcis lilfordi (Lilford's wall lizard)
Lineage: Eukaryota; Metazoa; Chordata; Lepidosauria; Squamata; Lacertidae
Source: the annotation of a GenBank genome assembly
GCCAAUGUGGAUCAGUUGGUAGAGCAUGAGACUCUUAAUCUCAGGGUUGUGGGUUAAAGCCCCACAUUGGGCA